AUAAAUAAAUAAAUAAAUAAAUAAAACAAGUCAAUGUGGCAAAAAGUGUGAAGAUGAUAUAUUAAACAUGACUGCCAUUUGGGAAAUAUGGUUCUAGGGCUGUCCAGCUGGACUUUCUGCAAUGAUUGAAAUGUUCUAUUCUGUGCUAUCCAAUAGCCACAUGUGGCUAUUGAGUACUUGAAAGGUGGCUAGUGUAACUGAGGCACUGAAUUUUAAAAUUUUAUUUUACUAUAUAAAGACAAUGCAGAUCUUGGGUGAUAACCGUGAUUGAUAAUGCAUGCCUGGAAUACUGUCUUUAGGAGGACUCAGCGGUCAGUAGUUCUGUGACAGAUUAUUAAUGCCUGGUGUGGGUAUGAGGGGGAAUGUGAUGGUGAGAGUGUCAUUUAUUGGCCAUCCCUAGACUACGUUUUCUUAGAGGGUCCUUCUAGCUCUAACAUUUCAGAAUGAUAUAUUCUUCCCUAAGCCUUCGGUAGAAUUUAGUACCCAAUUAAUGAUCUGUCUAACCCAGGAUGUCAUGGAACUAUUUGUUUCUGAUUUCUGUGUUUUUUAGAAAACCUCACACCAUCUGCUUGUUUCCUGAUAAACGUAGAGACUACUGAUUAGAAGGCUUCACUUUAAAGUAUUUACCCAUAUCUACAUGCAUUUGCCUGAAGCUAAUUAUUUCAGGCUGGUGAGAUGUGAGUCACCAUUUCCUUUUCUCAAGAAAGACACUAAAAAGUCACCUCUUUAGAGGCAGGGGAUCAUUACCAACGGAAAAGGAAGGACCCCAUCUGUUUAAUGUGUGGCUAAAAGUGGGGUGCUGGAAAUAACCUUUCUCCACGUGACUACAGAGUUGGGACAGGCUGUCAACAGGCUUCGGCUAUCUUGGAGAGAAAGUCCCAGAUUCUGCCAUGGAGAACAGAGGCAAGGCAUGGCAUGGAACGCUCCCUCCACCCACCGCCAUAGAAGCUGAAUGUCAAGCAGGUUGGCAGCUUUCCCCAGCCCUCCCCCAGUGUCCCUGCCAGGCACGGAAGGACGGGUCACAGGGCUGACCCUGGCUGGCAUUUCAGACAGCUUUAUAAUUACACCAUCUAUUUUUCAACUUGCCACUGACCUUUUGGUCUUCUCAUUUGUGAGCAUGCGAGCAUGUGUGUAUGUGUGUGCGUUGGAUGUGUCUUCUUUUAUCUUUGCUUGAUGCUCUCAUCCUCAUUUCCUUUUCUCUUCUCCUCUGGUCUUGUUUAUCAUUUAAACCACAGGUUGUUAGGGCCAAGUUGGUUUCUCUUUCCUUCUGCUUUAUCCUAUUAUGGAAUUAUCUAGAAUGAGCCCUGUCAUCUCUCUGACCUCACUUUCCCAUCUGUCAAAUCAAAGGUUUUGAUUGGAUCAUAAGAAUUGGUAACAUUGAAUUUUUUUUUUUUUUUUUUUUUUUU
This 1406-nucleotide long non-coding RNA is filed under the name Homo sapiens (human). RNAcentral describes it as "HSALNT0227829". Lineage: Eukaryota; Metazoa; Chordata; Mammalia; Primates; Hominidae. The record is from RNAcentral.